Molecule: small RNA, 234 nt
Filed under: Arabidopsis thaliana (thale cress)
Lineage: Eukaryota; Viridiplantae; Streptophyta; Magnoliopsida; Brassicales; Brassicaceae
Description: ATSL068100
Source: RNAcentral
UUUGAAAAGAUAAAAUUUAUAUUUGUUCAACCGGUGAAAAAAAUAUUUAUAUCUAUUAGUUUGCUCUUGUCAUUCUGUCUUCCGGUAAGACCACACUCUUUUUCGCUCUUUACGUAUUUUUUUAAAAAUCGAAAAUAAUCAUGAUGCUCCAAAUUUAUAUGUAUUGUUAAGCCAAAAAAUAUUUUUAUGAGAACUCAAACCGAAACUAUAAUGUUGUUUUUUAACUUAGACUUU